This 250-nucleotide unclassified non-coding RNA is filed under the name plant metagenome. RNAcentral describes it as "partial contains small subunit ribosomal RNA, internal transcribed spacer 1, and 5.8S ribosomal RNA". The record is from RNAcentral.
GUAGGUGAACCUGCGGAAGGAUCAUUAACAAAUCAAUGUGUAUGUAUGUAUGUAUGUAUGUAUGGUAUGUGUAAGAUUGAUGAUAUUAGUAAAAUAAUAACAUUUAUACACAUACAUACAUACAUGACAACAACAUUUACACCGGGUGAUAGUAAAAUAUCGCCCUGUGGUUCGUGAUAUAUAAGAGUGGUAGAAUUUUCUACUAUAAAGAUAUAUUACAAUAUUAACGUUUUCUAUGAUUGAUUGACUG